Haliotis rubra (blacklip abalone) is the source of this 2655-nucleotide long non-coding RNA. RefSeq lists it as uncharacterized. The transcript has 2 exons. NCBI's taxonomy places the organism in Eukaryota, Metazoa, Mollusca, Gastropoda, Lepetellida, Haliotidae. The record is from RefSeq and is a predicted model, not a curated record.
AGCAUUCUGCACCUCAAAGACGUAUAUAUACAGGUUUGGAAGCAACCCCUAGUCUCUCUCUCUCUGGCGUGGGACGCGCCACAGCAUGUAUCUGCUGAUUGCUGCGCGCUGGGCAUGUUGGGUAAUUCGUGGGCCAGCAGAGGGAAGACACCAUUGUGGUGAUACUCUACAGAUUACAGCGUGCAGGUAGCAUUUCAUGAAUCAAGGAUGCUCCAGACUCCUUGGCCUGUGGCAAAGAGAAAGGCAAAUGGUCAUAGAAAGAAAAGUCACAGUUUUGCAGUUAAACAAGUUGAUCAUGUUGCUGCAGACCACUCCAAUUCAACUAGCAGCACACCAGGUCCACCUACUAGCUCCACCUAUCAAUCAUAUUCCUUAUUAUCCUGGGAUAUUACGACCUUCCAGCUAUCAGCAUCAUGACCUUUGCCAUUGAGAGGAUGAUUGAGAGAUUUGUUCAACCAUCUGAUCAUGAACCUAGCCAAGCCAUGAGAUUGAAUUUGAUCAUCAAUCAAUGUUUGAAACCAACUUUAUACAUCCAUGGCAAAGAAAUAAAUUCUGAUCAUUUGGACCGGUUUUCCACACUAUCGUCCUGUGAAAGACAUCCAGAAGUUACAGUCCAAACUGGAGUGAUAGGACAAUUGCAAGGGACACUUUGAGGCUCAGUACAUAUCCAUGGUGCCCUCGGGUGUUUUCAAGAGUUCAAGUUGUGUCUCUGCUGUUGGGUACCGGGAAGCUAUCCAUGCCAUCAGAGGAGACAUUGCAUACGAGUCAACAAUAUGUUCAACUAAUUACUGUCGACUGGUUCAAUCAAAGAGGAGAUGCAAACACUGUGACCUGUACAGAAAUACUCUGACGAAGUAAGGAUUUACGUUAAAAGCCUACACUGUGUCAACAUUUUCUCUGAAGAAAACAGCCACAAUACUACGAACAACAUUCGUUUUGUUAAAACUAUUAAAAUGUUAAAAAAUGAAAUGUGAUCAAUUCAAGCAGACGUUGACCGACUUAAAACGGGUGCUUGAUCAAAACAAAAGGACUUGUUAAGCUGCAGUGACAACGAAGAACUCCUAGAACUUGUGGAAAAGUACACACAUGAUGUCGAGAGACGUUAUCCAGAUGAACCUUCUGCUCAAAGGCUCUUCUGGGACCAACAGCUAAAGUAUGCUAAACUCAAAAACAUCAGCGAUGAUGUGGCACCCUAUGAUGGUAAAGUGGUGUUUGUCAGAAAGGUUACAGUGUAGCCAGAUAUUCUGGAUUCAUUGCUCUUCCAAUAACUCGUACCCUAUUUGACUAUUCACAUGUCUUUCCGAGUACUUGUGGCUUUCAGGAAAAAUUUACUGAACAUCUGAUAGAACAGGCAGAAAACUGAAAUGUACAAGGAAGAAUGGAAAUGAUGGGAUCGUCAGAAGGACUGGUUUAUGACAACAAAAGUAGUGAGUUAGUUGGAGCUGAACAAAACCGGGAAUGACAUCAGAAAAUCUGCUAAGUGACAGUGCAAAAUCCAUUCUUGUUGUUGUUCUGGCGAGAGGUCACAACAUCAGCGAUUUACAGGACGCGAAUUCCUGCGUCCUAAACGCAUAAAAAUGGACAAUGGAGGCAACAAAAUAUAUUAGUGCAUCCACAGGCAUGCAGAAAAAGUCCAAAUACUUUUUGUUUAAAAUUCCAAUCAUGUAAAAAUAACAUAUAAUAAUAAUAAUAAUGUACAAAAUAUAUAUAGCGCCUUAUUUGAUGUGCAGCUACAUCACUCAAGGCGCUUAACAGUCAAAUUGGUGGCUAUUGAGCUUAUUCACACUUGAACAGAUAGGUCUUAAUGUUCUUUUUGAAGUUGGUGAUUGAUGUUUCUGUUCUGAGACCGACUGGGAGACUAUUCCAUAGGGUACUUGCUGUCUUGUGGAAGCACCUCUCUCCAUACCUAGCUGUGUGUUUUCUAGGUACUGUGAGAAGAGAGGCUGACUCAGACUGUAGAGAUCGAGUCGGAUUAUACGGUGUGAUGAGAUCCUGUAGGUAUGCUGGAGCAGUUCCAUGCAGGGCCUUGAAGGUGUAAGUUAAUAUUUUAUACUGACAACGGAGGUGUACUGGUAGCCAGUGCAGGGCUUGGCGAACUUCCGUCACGUGUUCCCAUGUCCUGGAACGGGUGAUUAGUCUCACAGAGGCAUUCUGGACUCUCUGUAGUCUGCGCAUGAGAGACUUGGGUAUUCCUGCAAUUAGUGCAUUCCCAUAGUCCAGGCGUGAUGUAACCAGAGAAUGGACCAGCUUCUUACAGGUUUCUUCAUCAAUGUAUUUUCUUAUCUUACUGAUGUUUCUGAUCUGGUAGAAACAUGAUCUAGAGACAGCAUUUACUUGUCUUUCCAUAGUAAGGAAUUUGUCUAAAUAAACACCGAGGUUCUUCACUUCAUCAGUGGUGUGGAUGUUGUGGGUACCAACAUGGAGUUCCAGAUCACGGUGAACAUGAAUUAGCUACUAGCUGGGUUAUGGUAUUAUUUACAAUUUAAUUACUGUAACAAUUAAUAUAAUGAUCAUGAUACACAAUACACUAACAGUAUUAAUAAUAUUAUUUAAAUGUCUGGGACCCCUUUAUUGUUGUCCAGGACCCCUGAAAAUGAAGAGUACGUGUCCCAGGGACCCUCAAAUACAGGACUCAAGGUAAAUCCCUGCUACAUC